RNAcentral lists this ribosomal RNA (187 nucleotides) under uncultured Arenibacter sp. RNAcentral describes it as "partial 16S ribosomal RNA". It matches the Rfam family "Bacterial small subunit ribosomal RNA", at positions 338 to 522 of the family's 1533-position model. The record is from RNAcentral. Lineage: Bacteria; Pseudomonadati; Bacteroidota; Flavobacteriia; Flavobacteriales; Flavobacteriaceae.
CCUACGGGAGGCAGCAGUGAGGAAUAUUGGACAAUGGGCGGGAGCCUGAUCCAGCCAUGCCGCGUGCAGGAAGACGGUCCUAUGGAUUGUAAACUGCUUUUGUACGGGAAGAACAAGGGGCACGUGUGCCCUUCUGACGGUACCGUAAGAAUAAGGAUCGGCUAACUCCGUGCCAGCAGCCGCGGUA